Molecule: ribosomal RNA, 776 nt
Filed under: uncultured Neocallimastigales
Lineage: Eukaryota; Fungi; Neocallimastigomycota; Neocallimastigomycetes; Neocallimastigales
Description: partial large subunit ribosomal RNA
Rfam family: Eukaryotic large subunit ribosomal RNA
Source: RNAcentral
UAUGUGAUCGUCUCUCGCAUAUCAAUAAGCGGAGGAAAAGAAACUAACAAGGAUUCCCCCUAGUAACGGCGAGUGAAGCGGGAAGAGCUCAAAUUUGAAAUCUUAAAGGGUUUCCCUUUACGAAUUGUAGUUUAAAGAAGUGUUCUCUGUUGAGGUUUUGGUAAAAGUUCUUUGGAAUAGGACAUCAUAGAGGGUGAGAAUCCCGUAUUUGACCUUUACUUUCAACUUUGUGAUACACUUUCAAAGAGUCGGAUUGUUUAGGGAAUGCAGUCCAAAAUGGGUGGUAAAUUUCAUCUAAAGCUAAAUAUUGGCGAGAGACCGAUAGCGAACAAGUACCGCGAGGGAAAGAUGAAAAGAACUUUGAAAAGAGAGUUAAACAGUACGUGAAAUUGUCAAAAGGGAAGCGUUUGACACCAGUGUUGUUUUUCUGAAAAUCAAUUAAAGAACUGUUUAUGCUAAGUUGUUUAGACUUUAUCAGCUAACUGUUUAGUUUUGAGCUUUUCUUUAAUGCACUUUUCAGUUAACAAGUCAACAUCAAUUUCUUUUGCUGUAAAAAAGCUUGAGGAAGGUGGCUUGAGAUUCGUCUUAAGUGUUUAUAGCCUCUUGCCUAUGCAGUCGGAGAGAUUGAGGUCUGCAGCGUAGAUCCUUCGGGGCUAAAUGCAUUUGUGCUAAGUUAUAGCAUUUUAUAGACAACUUGUUGACUAUGAUUUGUCUUGUAGCUUACUCGCUUAUGUUAUUUUACCUACGCUUAGGAUGUUGAUCUACAGAGCGAGAGU